UAUAUACUCCCUCCGUACGGAAAUACUUGUCGAAGAAAUGGAUGUAUCUAGACGUAUUUUAGUUUUAGAUACAUUCAUUUUUAUUCAUUUCGGUGACAAGUAUUUCUGGACGGAGGGAGUAUGUG
This 125-nucleotide microRNA precursor is filed under the name Hordeum vulgare. RNAcentral describes it as "microRNA MIR1122". It matches the Rfam family "MIR1120/MIR1122 microRNA precursor family". Lineage: Eukaryota; Viridiplantae; Streptophyta; Magnoliopsida; Poales; Poaceae. The record is from RNAcentral.